RNAcentral lists this ribosomal RNA (232 nucleotides) under uncultured Pseudomonadales bacterium. RNAcentral describes it as "partial 16S ribosomal RNA". It matches the Rfam family "Bacterial small subunit ribosomal RNA", at positions 99 to 334 of the family's 1533-position model. Lineage: Bacteria; Pseudomonadati; Pseudomonadota; Gammaproteobacteria; Pseudomonadales. The record is from RNAcentral.
CGGACGGGUGAGUAAUGCCUAGGAAUCUGCCUGGUAGUGGGGGACAACGUUUCGAAAGGAACGCUAAUACCGCAUACGUCCUACGGGAGAAAGUGGGGGAUCUUCGGACCUCACGCUAUCAGAUGAGCCUAGGUCGGAUUAGCUAGUUGGUGAGGUAACGGCUCACCAAGGCGACGAUCCGUAACUGGUCUGAGAGGAUGAUCAGUCACACUGGAACUGAGACACGGUCCAG